RNAcentral lists this unclassified non-coding RNA (287 nucleotides) under uncultured Borreliella sp. Its description in RNAcentral is "partial 5S-23S intergenic spacer". The stretch from base 110 to 287 matches the Rfam family "Bacterial large subunit ribosomal RNA", at positions 1 to 185 of the family's 2925-position model. The record is from RNAcentral. Lineage: Bacteria; Pseudomonadati; Spirochaetota; Spirochaetia; Spirochaetales; Borreliaceae.
UUAAAUAACAUAAAAAAUAAAAUAUAUAUUGACAUGUAUUAAACAAAGAUAUAUAUUAUUUUAUGUUGUAUAAAUAAAUUGGCAAAAUAGAGAUGGAARAUAAAAAUAUGGUCAAAGUAAUAAGAGUCUAUGGUGAAUGCCUAGGAGCUUUAAGGCGAARAAGGUCGUGGUAAGCUGCGAAAAGCUUGGGGGAGAAGCAAACAUUUAUUGAUCCCAAGAUUACCGAAUGGAGUAAUCCAGCUAGCAAGAUGCUAGCUAUCUAUUAUUUAAAUAAWAGAGGCGAUACC